CAGGUUAAAGCCUAGUGGUUAGGCGUCUCAAUUGGGAUGAGAAGACGUUAUGUUCGAAUCAUAAUAACCUGA
This 72-nucleotide transfer RNA is filed under the name Uncinocarpus reesii 1704. It matches the Rfam family "tRNA". From Rfam's summary of the family: Transfer RNA (tRNA) molecules are approximately 80 nucleotides in length. Lineage: Eukaryota; Fungi; Ascomycota; Eurotiomycetes; Onygenales; Onygenaceae. The record is from Rfam by way of RNAcentral.